AUGGAGGCAAACAAAAUACCUGAGGUGGGAAAAGAAUUAACCUAUGCAGUAUUCCCAUCAAAAUUUGUACGGAAAAGUGACUCCAAAACUUGGGAGGAGCGGAAAAGGGGCUUUGCGAUUGGAAGAAUUUACUAUGCACACACUGCAAGUGGUGACCGGUAUUAUAUGAGAAUGCUUCUAAACACCAAGAAAGGAUGCACAUCAUUUGAGGAUAUUAGAACAGUUAAUGGAGUAGUUCACCCAGCAUACAAAAUAGCAUGUCAAGCGCUUGGAUUUCUUGAUGACGAUAGUGAGUGGAUUGAAUGCAUCAAUGAAGUAUCAAGCUGGGGAUCAGGGAUACGAUUACGACAGCUAUUCACCACAAUAUUAUGCCAUUGUGAGGUGACCAUCCCAAAAGUGUUGUGGGAUUCAACAUGGGAGGCACUAUCUGAAGAUAUCCAGUACAAAAGAAGAAUAAUCCUAAACUUUCCUACGCUGCAUCUAACUAAUUCACAGAAAAAAUCAUAUGCUCUGAUCGAGAUAGAGAAACUAAUGAGGCAAGCUAGAAAGACACUAAAGGACUAUCCAGGCAUAGAACUACCAAAUGCUACUGAACUUGAACAACUUGGGAACAGAAUGAUAAAUGAAGAACUUAGCUACGACACGGAAGCACUAAAGAUUGAGCACCAAACCAUAGUUAGCAAUCUUAACCAUAGCCAGAAAAUGGCCUUUGAUGCCAUAAUGGAAUCAACUAACAGAGAGCAUGGAAAACAGAUAUUUGUAGAGGGCUACGAUGGCACAGGCAAAACUUAUCUAUGGAAAGCAAUCACGACGAAGCUACGAUCAGAGGGGAAAAUAGUGCUUGCAGUAGCAUCAUCUGGCAUUGCAGCAUUGCUCCUCCAAUGUGGAAGAACAGCGCACUCAAGAUUCCACAUUCCAAUAAAUAUCACAGAAGAAUCAACAUGUGAAAUAAAACAAGGCUCACAUUUGGCUGAACUAGUAAAGAGGACCUCAUUGAUACUGUGGGACGAGGCUCCUAUGGCACACAAACACUGCUUCGAGGCACUAGACAAAAGCCUUAGGGAUAUUCUAAGGUUCCAAAACCAAAACAGUGACGAAAGGCCAUUUGGUGGCAUGACAGUUGUGCUAGGAGGCGACUUCAGACAAAUACUUCCAGUGGAUACAAAGGGAAAGAGAGAGCAGAUAGUAAAUGCCUCAGUCAAAAGGUCAUACCUAUGGAAGCACUUCGAAAUAUUUAGACUAACUGAAAACAUGCGGCUGAAGUGCCUGUCAGAAGAUCCAAUACAAAAGCAAAAUGUGGCUGAAUUUGCAGAAUGGAUAUUACAAAUUGGCGAUGGAAAACAAACAAACGAUGAAGGAGAUGAUUGGGUAAAAAUUCCUAAAGACAUAAUUCUGCAAAAAGGAGAAGACCCGAAAGAAGCGAUAGUGAAAAGCACGUACCCAAACUUGCACCAAAACUAUCGUGACCGUGAAUUUCUUGAAGAAAGAGCAAUACUAUGUCCAAGGAAUGAAACAGUUGAGAAGAUAAAUGACUACGUAAUGAGCCAAAUACAAGGUGAAGAGGUGACAUACCUAAGCUUGGACACUGUAUGCAAGGCAACAACAAAGUACAACACAACGGAGAAUAUGUGUCCAACAGAGUUCCUUAACAAAUUGACCUUCCCAGGAAUUCCAAACCACGAGCUAAAACUGAAGGUAGGCUUGCCGGUUAUGCUCCUACACAACAUCAAUCAAGCGGCAGGUUUAUGCAAUGGUACAAGAAUGACUGUCACACAGCUGGGAAACAGGUACAUUGAGGCACAAAUAAUCACAGGAACACACGUCGGUGACAAGGUAUACAUACCUAAAAUCAUUAUGUCACCAAGCGACUCAAAGUGGCCCUUCGUGCUGAAAAGAAGGCAAUAUCCUAUAUCAGUUUGUUUUGCAAUGACCAUAAAUAAAAGCCAAGGUCAAUCCCUAAACAAGGUGGGUCUAUAUUUGCCUAAGCAAGUAUUCUGCCAUGGCCAACUAUAUGUGGCAUUAUCAAGAGUCACAAACAGAGAAGGAUUAAAGGUGCUGAUUGACGACACGGAGUGCCCAAGCGAAGAUAGCGCAAAGAAUAUAGUAUACAAAGAGAUCUUCUAA
Molecule: ribosomal RNA, 2124 nt
Filed under: Triticum aestivum (bread wheat)
Lineage: Eukaryota; Viridiplantae; Streptophyta; Magnoliopsida; Poales; Poaceae
Description: partial small subunit ribosomal RNA
Source: RNAcentral